UAAGGAAUAUUGGUCAAUGGGCGGAAGCCUGAACCAGCCAUGCCGCGUGCAGGAUGACUGCCCUAUGGGUUGUAAACUGCUUUUGUCCAGGAAUAAACCUAGAUACGUGUAUCUAGCUGAAUGUACUGGAAGAAUAAGGAUCGGCUAACUCCGUGCCAGCAGCCGCGGUAAUACGGAGGAUCCGAGCGUUAUCCGGAUUUAUUGGGUUUAAAGGGUGCGUAGGCGGCCCUAUUAAGUCAGGGGUGAAAUACGGUGGCUCAACCAUCGCAGUGCCUUUGAUACUGAUGGGCUUGAAUCCAUUUGAAGUGGGCGGAAUAAGACAAGUAGCGGUGAAAUGCAUAGAUAUGUCUUAGAACUCCGAUUGCGAAGGCAGCUCACUAAGCUGGUAUUGACGCUGAUGCACGAAAGCGUGGGGAUCGAACAGGAUUAGAUACCCCUUGGUUAGUCCACGCCCUAAAACGAUGAUAACUCGAUGUUGGGCGAUAGACAGGCCAGCGUCCAAGCGAAAAGCGUUAAGUUAUCCACCUGGGGGAGUACCGCCCCGCAAGGGUGAAAACUCAAAUGAAUUGCGGGGGCUCAUAGCUGUUUUU
Molecule: ribosomal RNA, 590 nt
Filed under: uncultured bacterium
Lineage: Bacteria
Description: partial 16S ribosomal RNA
Rfam family: Bacterial small subunit ribosomal RNA
Source: RNAcentral